Molecule: ribosomal RNA, 295 nt
Filed under: uncultured bacterium
Lineage: Bacteria
Description: partial 16S ribosomal RNA
Rfam family: Bacterial small subunit ribosomal RNA
Source: RNAcentral
GUGCCAGCAGCCGCGGUAAUACGGAGGGUGCGAGCGUUAAUCGGAAUUACUGGGCGUAAAGCGCAUGCAGGUGGUUUGUUAAGUCAGAUGUGAAAGCCCGGGGCUCAAACCUCGGAAUUGCAUUUGAAAACUGGCAAAACUAGAGUACUGUAGAGGGGGGUAGAAGUUUCAGGUGUAGCGGUGAAAAUGCGUAGAGAUCUGAAGGAAUACCGGUGGCGAAGGCGGCCCCCUGGACAGAUACUGACACUCAGAUGCGAAAGCGUGGGGAGCAAAACAGGAUUAGAUACCCUGGUAG